AUUGAACGCUGGCGGCAGGCUUAACACAUGCAAGUCGAGCGGGGUGAUGGUGCUUGCACUAUCACUUAGCGGCGGACGGGUGAGUAAUGCUUAGGAAUCUGCCUAUUAGUGGGGGACAAAAUCUCGAAAGGGAUGCUAAUACCACAUACGUCCUAAGGGAGAAAGCAGGGGAUCACUUGUGACCUUGCGCUAAUAGAAGAGCCUAAGUCGGAUUAGGUAGUUGGUGGGGGAAAGGCCUACCAAGGGGACGGUCUGUAGCGGGUCAUGAGGGGAUGAUCCGCCAAACUGGGGUUGAGACACGGCCCAGACUCCUACGGGAGGCAGCAGUGGGGAAUAGUGGACAAUGGGGGGAAACCUGAUCCAGCCAUGCCGCGUGUGUGAAGAAGGCCUUAUGGUUGUAAAGCACUUUAAGCGAGGAGGAGGCUCUUUUGGUUAAUACCCAAGAUGAGUGGACGUUACUCGCAGAAUAAGCACCGGCUAACUCUGUGCCAGCAGCCGCCGUAA
RNAcentral lists this ribosomal RNA (504 nucleotides) under uncultured bacterium. RNAcentral describes it as "partial 16S ribosomal RNA". It matches the Rfam family "Bacterial small subunit ribosomal RNA", at positions 30 to 523 of the family's 1533-position model. The record is from RNAcentral.